RNAcentral lists this long non-coding RNA (724 nucleotides) under Daucus carota (carrot). RNAcentral describes it as "long non-coding RNA (DCAR_LNC007574)". The record is from RNAcentral. Lineage: Eukaryota; Viridiplantae; Streptophyta; Magnoliopsida; Apiales; Apiaceae.
UGUAAGCCAUAUAAUGUUUCAAUUGGAUCUUAUACAUGUUACCCAUAUCAUAAUCUGCAUGCUAGUUUGGAAAAUUAGAUCAUACUAGGUGUGUGGAAGAUAUAAUGGGAGCACUAGCGUUGGGAUAAUUAAUUUUAAGAAUGUAGUUUAAUCUUUUUUAUUCGUUUGAUGUAUUUGUUUCCUUUUUCCGUAUGCAACAGGGUAAAUAUGCAGAAGCUUUGAUAAUAGAACCAUAAGAUUCAACUAGUAAAUCCCAUUAUUAUAAUGGACUGGUGAUGCUUGCAAGGUACUAUCUGAUCAUUUAUUUUCAUAUUGUUGCAGGUUUAUAGCUCUUUGUAGGUGUUUAAAUUACUGAUGCUUCAGUACUAGCAUAUUGAGCUUGAAUAUUGAGCUUUUUUAUUUGCUUCACCAGCCCCACAUGAUUCAUAAUUUUAUCUGCAACUACUUUCAGACUUUCCCAUUCAUUCUGAAAAUUGUAAAAAGAAAACCUUGUCAUAAAGAUGAAGACUCCAUCUGUUCUGUCUCGUCUCUAUUCAGUGAUAAAACUGAUCAGUCUGGAGUUGUUGAGAUACCCCAAUUUAUAGCUGAAACCAAAACAGAUACCAUUGCACCUUCAUUUCAUGUUGCUGUCACAGACAAAAGCUGUGUGGAAAUUCUGGUUAAAGGGAAAUGUGUCGAUUUUGUUUAUGGGUUUUGUUUUGUUUUUGUUGUUUAUCUUCUUUUA